CCAGACUCCUACGGGAGGCAGCAGUGGGGACUCUUUCGCAAUGGGCUCCCGCCUGACGCCGCUCCGCCGCGUGCUGUCUGAAGGUCUUCGUCUCGUAAACCUCUUUCAGCAGGGCAGCCCGGUCACUGUUCUCAUCAGCAGUGCAUUGACGGUACCUGCAAAGGAAGCACCGGCUAACUCCGUGCCAGCAGCCGCGGUAAUACGGAGGGUGCGAGCGUUAAUCGGAAUUACUGGGCGUAAAGCGUUCGUAGGCGGUAUGUCAAGUCAAGGGUGAAAUCCCCGCGCUCAACGUGGGAACUGCCUUUGAAACUGGCAAACUGGAGUGUGUGAGAGGAUAGUGGAAUUCCAGGUGUAGGAGUGAAAUCCGUAGAUAUCUGGAGGAACAUCAGUGGCGAAGGCGACUAUCUGGCACAUAACUGACGCUGAGGAGCGAAAGCGUGGGUAGCAAACAGGAUUAGAUACCCGCGUAA
Molecule: ribosomal RNA, 470 nt
Filed under: uncultured bacterium
Lineage: Bacteria
Description: bacterial SSU rRNA
Rfam family: Bacterial small subunit ribosomal RNA
Source: RNAcentral